This 246-nucleotide long non-coding RNA is filed under the name Pan troglodytes (chimpanzee). RNAcentral describes it as "long non-coding RNA NONPTRT012040". Lineage: Eukaryota; Metazoa; Chordata; Mammalia; Primates; Hominidae. The record is from RNAcentral.
CCUGAAAUGCAAAUCUGAUCAUUUAAUUUCAUCUACAUGAACUUUUUCCUGUCUCACAGUAUUAAGAUAAUCCAACUUUAAAAUAGCAUUUAGAAGCCCCUGCAUGGCCUGGCCCUUGCAUACCUCAUCUCUUGCCACUGCUCCCCCUUCUACUCAUAUUCUGGAAAUGCUGAGCUUCUUUAUGAUCAAUCUGACAUCAGCUGAGGCUUGAUUUCCUCCCAAAAAUAUUUCUCAAAUUUUCCUAUG